This 331-nucleotide unclassified non-coding RNA is filed under the name Hevea brasiliensis (rubber tree). Lineage: Eukaryota; Viridiplantae; Streptophyta; Magnoliopsida; Malpighiales; Euphorbiaceae. The record is from RNAcentral.
GUUCAUGAAAGAAAUAAUAGUUUAAAAAAAAGGCCUUACAACAAGCAUUUGGCAAUAGUAUUCUCAAAUUUUCCCCCCUGUUUCCCUUCUUUUUUGAUGAAUAUGAACAGCAGAUGAACAACAUAGCUGAGUCUCAAUAUAUGUACUACCAAAAUGUUCACUGAAGACAUAGCCCAUCAAGAUCGAAACAAUGAUCCUGAUCUGAGAAAACAUUCCACAGAUAUUAAAUCAAUAAAUUACCUUUAGCGUACAAUGGUUACUGUCUAUUUCUUCAUCAAUGAAAAGCUAAGAACCUCUCCUCCACUUCACACCAACCGUCUCUUGCAAACAC